Molecule: long non-coding RNA, 4414 nt
Organism: Salvia miltiorrhiza (redroot sage)
Lineage: Eukaryota; Viridiplantae; Streptophyta; Magnoliopsida; Lamiales; Lamiaceae
Exons: 3
Source: RefSeq, a predicted model, not a curated record
ACUUUAUCUCUCCACAUUUCGCACCAAAAUUUAAGGUGAAAAGACUGCUCUCUACCACAUCUCCAUCAAUACUCCUCACCGCCUCACCUCUGCAACAACGCCGAACAAUCGCCGGUAUUCGCAGUGCCACAACGAACAACCGCAGCGCCACACCGAAUAAAAGAUGGAUUCUAGUGCAACCGGUCAAGAAAUAGAAAAUCAAAACGAAGAGAACAUGCAAAUCAUAAAGUAUAAUGCAACAGAACCAGAAAUCGGAAAUCCAACUCCGAUCGACGAAAAUCAAACAACGGUAGAAGAUUCUACCACCGGAGGACAAAACUUUGAAAAAAUCGCUCAAACAACCGAUCCAGAAAAAGCACCAGAAAUUGAAGAGGAACAAAGACAAAUCGCGCCCGAAGAAGAAGCGACGGAGAUAGGUAGAUCAAAUCGAGUGGAGGAACACCGCGAAGAAGAACAACAACAUAUUGAAAACACGCUGCCAGAUGUGAUUAACAAGUGUGGGAGCGUUGUCAUUACGUCCUGACAAGGGAGAUAAAACUUCGGCAUGGAUGAGGAUGAACUAAGCUUCAUGAUAAAUGACAAGAGGCUAAGAUUCAGGAGGUUUGAGUAUGCACUGAUAACAUGGCUCAUAUUUGGACCAUCGACAUUCAACAAUGAUGACGAAGCGAUCAUUCCAGCACAGUCGCAGUUCACGAGGCGAUUCCACAACAAGCCUAUGAGCGUUGAAACACUGAAGGAUCUAUUCAUUAAUGGGAAGAUUACAAAUAACAAAAUGGAUGAUGUGAAUGUUGCCAAGCUACUGCUAGUCUACAACGUACUUUCUUCUUGGAAUGGAACCCAAGAAAAUGAUGACGGAGCCUUGGUUAUGGGCAAUAGUUGAAGAUGACGACCAAUGGAAAAAAUUUCCAUGGGAAAGCUACAACUACCAGCACCUGCUGCAAUACAUGAUGAGCAUAAAGUCGGAACCGACAGUGAGGAUAGAAGAAAACAAGGAUAAGCUAGAGGGAAUUCAUUUCUUUAGAUUCUCGAUUGCUUUCUUGACAUGGAUAUAUAUUGCAAUUCCACAGUUGGGGAAAACUUGUGGCCAUCCAAGAGAGGACUAGGAAAUGCCGAGAAUAUUGAGGUUCAAAUAUCCGAGGACUAAUUCUGUUGUAAUGGAGGUCACGGAAAAUGUAAGUCACAUUUAAAUAGUUAAAUAACAUUGCAUCAAUAUAUAUUCGUUUUAGCAUGUUUAGAAUUAAUAAAUUACUUCAAAUACUAGUAUAAAAUCAAGGGUUAAGGUGCAGAUAGGCCUCUGAAGUGUGAGCCCUUAGAGCGAUUUGCUCCCUUUACUAACUGUGUGUGCAACUUACCCCCUAAACUACCAAAAAUCGCACAUUUAACCCCUUCUUGACUAACACCGUUAGUCAACGUUAGUAAUUUUUUCUUUUAUUCAAAUUAUGGGGCCCACUUGUAGUUUUCUUCAAUUUUUUUAUUACAAUUCGUAUCCCCCUCUACUGCUACUGCCCGGCCAUGGUCAAAGAGAGAAAUGGACUGGCCUAGGCUGAUCUGGGCUUUGCUAAGGGCGUGACGGGAGAGAACGACGGUGGCCUGGCGGUCAUUGUCCAUCGGAGUCCGAGAAAGGCGGGGAUCUGUGAUGUGAGAGGCGAGAGAGAGACCGAGGGAGGCGGCGGCGCUUCGUCGUCACCAAGGGGGAGAUCUAGGGAAGCGACAGAGGCCACGGCGACUGUCGUUGCCAAGGAGGAGGGUUGCUGGGGUAUCCAGUCUAAGAAGCGAGCCGAGAUGGAGAUGAGAGAUGAGGCGGCGGUGACCGACUUUUGAUGCUGCUGCCGUCAAUUGCUAAAUCAAGACGAGAGGGAGAGCCGCUGUUCGCCGGAGGUAGAAGGAGAUUGGGCCACUUUUGGGCCAAUGUUAUUUAACAAAUCUAUCCCUCACUCAUGGCCACCGUCCGCAAAUCAUAUCCUUUGUUAUUGUUUCUUUUAUUGGAGUUUGAUUUCAUUUUCAUUGGAGUUUGGUUUCAUUAGCUUUCUUGUCAGCAUGAACUAAUGUUGGUGUGUAAGAUCCUAUUUUUAGCUACUGUAGAUCUAAGCUUUUUGAAUCUGAGUUUCCCAUCGUUAUUUAUUUUGUGGUGAUUUUGCCUUCUGCCGAGCGUUACUUGUCCGAGUUUCAGGAAUUGAGAUUUUCUAUUUUUCUUGCCCUGGAGAUUUACUUGUUAUGGGUAUUUGAUUUACUUGUCGCCGGGAGGGAGGCACCGCCGCUGACGGUUUGGUGAGAGUGAGAAAGAGAGAUGCAAAGUGAGGAGGAAGAAGAAGCGUAGAAGAAGAAGAAAGGAAGGUGGGCCCCACAAUUAGAAUUUAAAAAAUAAAAGAAAAAAUCACUAACUAACGUUGACUAACGGUGUUAGUCAAGAAGGGGUUAAAUGUGCGAUUUUUGGUAGUUUAGGGGGUAAGUUGCACACACAGUUAGUAAAGGGAGCAAAUCGCUCUAAGGGCUCACACUUCAGGGGCUUAUCUGCACCUUAACCCUAAAAUCAAACUGAUCUAUAAUUCACAACCAUCACAACCAUUAGAAAUAUUGGUUGUGAAUUACCAAUUAGAAAUUAGAUUUCACAACCAAUAUUUAUGUGACAAUUGCGACGGAAGACUUAUUUGAAUUACAAAAGUGGGUAAAGUACAAAAGUGAAGAAGAGACGCCGGAGUCAAGUUCACAAAAUGAACUUCAGAUUGCGACGGAAGACUUAUUUGAAUUGUCGCAGUUUGUCAUUGGAGAUCAACCAUCGUGGGGCCAUAUUAAACUAUGGCAAGAUUAUGAUAAGGUAAAAAUCACUAACUCUGUAUUAAAAUAUUAAACUAUUAUGUUUCAAAAAAAAUAUUAAACUAUUAGAAAUUUUACAACCAAAGAAAAUGUUAGUUGGGAAUUCAAGCUUGAAAGCUUGAAUUCACAACCCACGACUACUUUUGGUUGUGAAUUAGUGUUUUUGAGCAAAAAUUGGAAACUGCAAGUAUUUUUGUUGUGAUUAAAGAUUUAAAUUUUCAAUUCACAACCAAAAAAUAGGUAGUCAGUGUAAUGUGUUUAAAUUAAUAUGAAUAUAAAUACUCCUCCGUCUCACAAAAACAUGAACACUUUUCAAUUUUGGGGUGUCUCACAAAAACAUGAACAUUUUCUUUUUUGUACAUUGCCUCCUUACUUUUUAUCCCUCCUUUUUAUACUUAUUCACAAAAAAAUCAUCAUGGUCCACCACUAUUUUUCCUUAAUUAAUUCAUUAGUCUCACAACACUUUAUAAAGUGGGACCCAUUUUCCACUCACAAUAAUUUUCAACUAACAUUUCUUAAGACCCGCGCCACUUCCAAUUGUUCAUAUUUUUGUGAGACAGAGGGAGUAUGAAAUAUGUUAAUGAUUUCUGUUUCCAAUUGUGAUUCAACAUUUGAAAAUUAAAGGAUAAAUCCACACUAGUAAUUUGGAUUAGAACUGUUAUUUAAGUUGUGAUUCAAGCUCUGAAUUAACAAAUUGAAUUCACAACUGUGACAAACAUGGUUUUCGUACCUCAAUAUUGCAUGAAUUGUUGUCUUUUUCCCCCUAGAAUUGAAUAUUAAUAUGUGUUUGUUUCCCCAUUUUGAGUUUUGUUGAAUUUUGAUGCUUGGUGUAGCUUUUGGAGUGAUUUCAGGGAAAAUCAACGAUAAAUUAGAGAGUUUUGAAAACAUGAGGUUGAAGUUCAUCUCGAGAGAAAUCUGUGAGCGCAAAUGGCGACCAAAUCGGAGUUCGGACGAGGGAGAACGAAGCCGAAAAAGCGGACUGUGCAUAAAGCCCAGGACCCCGCGGUCCGGGCCGCGGCCACCGGCCCGACCGCGGGCCUCUGCUCCAAAAUUGCCCAGUAAGCCGCGGUUCGGGCCGCAGCCGUGGGCCCGACCGCGGGCCUCUACUCCAAGGCAGUCCAGAACAUUUUUGGCAAGCACCCGCGGUCCGAGCCGCGGCCGCGGCCUCCCCUCCUUCCAUGCAGCCGCGUUCUCAACCACGGUUCAUGCCGUGGUCGCGGGGAAAAGGCGGGAUUGCUCCCUUUGGUGGGCCCAAACGCGAUUUUUGCCCCAAAAACCCCUUUCCCCCCUCUUUUCUCACAUCAUUCACCAUACACACCCAAUUCCAUCUUCCCCAAUCCUCCACACAAAAACCCUAACCUCCAUUAAUGCUCACACCUACCUUUUGAAGAAGCGUUGAAGGGGAGAGAAGAUUCAAGAAAGCCCAUUAAUAGGAUUUGUCACUCAUUACUCUCUCUUUCAUAUAUGUUCUUCUUUGAUUUAAGUAUGUUGUUUGUGAACAUGGUAGGCUAAAACCCCCAUUGGUUUGGGGGUUAGGCUAGUAGAUUAUGUAAUGGAUUGAUUAUUAUGCUUAAUAUAUGUCUUGUUUACUUCCUUGUCA